GAUGAACGCUGGCGGCGUGCCUAAUACAUGCAAGUCGAGCGAACGGACGAGAAGCUUGCUUCUCUGAUGUUAGCGGCGGACGGGUGAGUAACACGUGGAUAACCUACCUAUAAGACUGGGAUAACUUCGGGAAACCGGAGCUAAUACCGGAUGAUAUUUUGAACCGCAUGGUUCAAAAGUGAAAGACGGUCUUGCUGUCACUUAUAGAUGGAUCCGCGCUGCAUUAGCUAGUUGGUAAGGUAACGGCUUACCAAGGCAACGAUGCAUAGCCGACCUGAUAGAGGGAUCGCCCGCACUGGAACGGGGACGCGGUCCAGACUCCUACGGGAGGCAGCAGUAGGGAAUCUGCCGCAAUGGGCGAAAGCCUGACGGAGCAACGCCGCGUGAGUGAUGAAGGUCUUCGGAUCGUAAAACUCUGUUAUUAGGGAAGAACAUAUGUGUAAGUAACUGUGCACAUCUUGACGGUACCUAAUCAGAAAGCCACGGCUAACUACGUG
This 497-nucleotide ribosomal RNA is filed under the name uncultured bacterium. RNAcentral's name for it is "partial 16S ribosomal RNA". It matches the Rfam family "Bacterial small subunit ribosomal RNA", at positions 28 to 507 of the family's 1533-position model. The record is from RNAcentral.